Chenopodium quinoa (quinoa) is the source of this 864-nucleotide long non-coding RNA. RefSeq lists it as uncharacterized. The transcript has 3 exons. The record is from RefSeq and is a predicted model, not a curated record. NCBI's taxonomy places the organism in Eukaryota, Viridiplantae, Streptophyta, Magnoliopsida, Caryophyllales, Amaranthaceae.
ACGGAGGAAGUAAGACCAAUCAAUAGUUAAGGAUCAAUUCCUAGUACGGAAAGAUCAUUACCAAUCUUCAGUUUGGUUUCAAUCUCCAACUAGUCGUACCACUACCCCACCUAGUAUCUAUCAAUCAAAAACCAACUGCUCACUAAAAAUUAUUCCCAUCUCCAUUAUUUUGCUUCUCUUUCUCUUUCUUUGUCUUCAUCCUGUCACCUUCAUUAAUCAGUAAGCAAAUCUCUAUCCCAUUAGAAAAUUGAUAAUUAUUCACCAGUUUUUGAAGAGAUCAACAAAAAUGGAUGACCCACGCAAUCAAAUUACGUGUUGCUGAAGCUGUUUUCUGACGCCCAUGGCGAAUCAACGGUGGCGCCACCACCACCUCUACCACAGCAACACCAGCAUCAGUCGCCUUUCUCGCCGAUUUCUUCCCGUUGUUACCUCCAUCGUCGGCGUCUUCAUCCUCCGCUUCUUCGCUCUCUCGCUCCUCGUCCUUCUCGCCUCCUUCACCAUGGCCACUCUCGCAGCUCAUUUCUCUUUGGAGAAAGCAUCAGCUGAAGUUAUCUUAUGAUAAGGAGCAGCAGGAUGACGAGGAGGAGCAGGAGAAGUUAUCUGAUGACAAGGAGGAGAAAAAGAAGUUAUCUGAUGAUAGUUACCUUAUUUUUGUAAAUAGUGACUUCUAUAUCAAUGUGGUCAAUGUUGUCAAAAUUGAUAUAAUUACCUUAUUUUAUGUAUAGUGACCUUCGUUAUUUUUAUAUAUAGUGGCCUCUGUAUAAAUGUGGCCUCUGUAAAUUGACGUAGUUACCUUAUUUUUGUAUAUAGUGACCUUUAUGUAAAUGUGGUCAAAAUUGAUAUAAUUACCCUAUUUUUGUAUAA